AGGUUUGUGGCUCAGUGGUAGAGUGCUUACCUGGCACGUGAGAGACCCUGGGUUCCAUCCUUAGCACUA
RNAcentral lists this transfer RNA (69 nucleotides) under Ictidomys tridecemlineatus (thirteen-lined ground squirrel). Its description in RNAcentral is "Spermophilus tridecemlineatus (thirteen-lined ground squirrel) tRNA". It matches the Rfam family "tRNA". From Rfam's summary of the family: Transfer RNA (tRNA) molecules are approximately 80 nucleotides in length. The record is from Rfam by way of RNAcentral. Lineage: Eukaryota; Metazoa; Chordata; Mammalia; Rodentia; Sciuridae.